GAAGGUGCAGCUCAGAGGUAGAGUGCGUGCCUAGCAAGCAUGAAGUCUGGGGUUUAAUCCCCAGUAUCUCCA
RNAcentral lists this transfer RNA (72 nucleotides) under Camelus ferus (Wild Bactrian camel). It matches the Rfam family "tRNA". From Rfam's summary of the family: Transfer RNA (tRNA) molecules are approximately 80 nucleotides in length. Their secondary structure includes four short double-helical elements and three loops (D, anti-codon, and T loops). The record is from Rfam by way of RNAcentral. Lineage: Eukaryota; Metazoa; Chordata; Mammalia; Artiodactyla; Camelidae.